Molecule: long non-coding RNA, 1021 nt
Organism: Lutra lutra (Eurasian river otter)
Lineage: Eukaryota; Metazoa; Chordata; Mammalia; Carnivora; Mustelidae
Exons: 6
Source: RefSeq, a predicted model, not a curated record
UGCUCGUAUGACCAGUUUUGGUGAUCCCAUCUGUCCUUGUGACCCACGGGCUUAGCAAAGCAUCUGGCAAUUGGCAGGUGUUCAGUAAAUGUUUGUGGAAUGAAUAAAGGCAUAUCCAAACUCUAGGGAGCCAAGAAGCCAUGAAAGAGGUAAAGAGGGUCCACUGGACCUCCAGAAUCCAAAAGGUUUCAAGCCAAGAAGAUACAAAGAUAGAUCAUAGUAACAGCUUUGCAGGAAAUCUAUGAAUAGGGGGUACAGAAAUCACAUUAGCCAUCACUUUGAAUAACAAGCUUGGACACCAGACCUCAAAAGAAAAUAAGAAUUCAGGGACACACAUGCACACAGACACUCACACAGCAUUUUUCAACACAAAGGUAUAAAGAUGAGAAAACUCAGCUUUGGCCAAGUAAAUGGUUUCAUCAAGGAUUCCCAGCUGCUGACUGCAGUACCGAGAACCUGCAACCACCAUAUGAACAAGCUCAAGCUAGCCUACAGAAGAGAAACCAAGUGCCCACAUGCUUCCACCACCCCAACCACCAGCGGUCAGUUAUUCCCCAGAAACGGAAUCAUCCUGACUACAUGUGAGUGAGCCCAGCCCAAAUCACCAGCCCACAGGAUCAUCAGUGCUUCCUCUUUCAACUUGUUCUUGGCAUUUGGAGAAGAUAGAAAGAACCCCAGGGAGCCUUGCUGAGCCCCAGACCAGGUAGGAGGGAGAAAGAGAAGGAAGAUUGAUCCCAGUUUUCAACAUGGAUUGAAAAUGGAGUUUUGCCAAUUUUCUACAUUUUACCCUGUAGUUCUCUGCCAGCCAAGGUAGGAGGGGAACAAGCAGCCUGUGUUCCUGGAGCAUUUUUCUGAGAACAGGAAAAUGUCAGUGAUUUGGAUAAUUGAAUGUCUGGAUUAAAAUUUACCUACGCCACAUCUUUGAAUAAAAAGACUUUUGAUUAACCAAUAUCAGCAAAGCAAACAGGAUGAUAAAGUAGAAUUUCUGUCUGAUUUAAUGAAAAAUCUAUAUUGAUUGUAU